CCCUACGGGGUGCAGCAGGCGAGAAAACUUUGCAAUGUGCGAAAGCACGACAAGGUUAAUCCGAGUGGUUUCUGCUAAAGGAACCUUUUGUCAGUCCUAGAAACACUGAUGAAUAAGGGGUGGGCAAGUUCUGGUGUCAGCCGCCGCGGUAAAACCAGCACCUCAAGUGGUCAGGAUGAUUAUUGGGCCUAAAGCAUCCGUAGCCGGCUCUGUAAGUUUUCGGUUAAAUCUGUACGCUCAACGUACAGGCUGCCGGGAAUACUGCAAAGCUAGGGAGUGGGAGAGGUAGACGGUACUCGGUAGGAAGGGGUAAAAUCCUUUGAUCUAUUGAUGACCACCUGGUGGCGAGGGGGGUCUACCAAAAACACGUCCGACGGUUGAGGGAAUGGAAAGCUGGGGGGAGGCAAAACCGGAUUAAAUACCCGGGUUAGUCCCAGCUGUAAAACCAUGCAAACUUCAGUUGAUGGCAUUGGCUUGGGGCCAAUGCAGUGCUGCAGGGAAGCCGUUAAAUUUUGCCGCCUGGGAAGUACGUACGCAAGUAUGAAACUUAAAGGAAUUGGGGGGGGGAACCACCCCAAGGGGUGAAGCCUGGCGGUUCAAUUGGAGUCAACGCCAGAAAUCUUACCCGGAGAGACAGCGAAUGAGGUCAAGCUGAAGAUUUUCC
Molecule: ribosomal RNA, 664 nt
Filed under: uncultured marine group I thaumarchaeote
Lineage: Archaea; Thermoproteati; Nitrososphaerota
Description: bacterial SSU rRNA
Rfam family: Archaeal small subunit ribosomal RNA
Source: RNAcentral